RNAcentral lists this signal recognition particle RNA (285 nucleotides) under Prolemur simus (greater bamboo lemur). Its description in RNAcentral is "Metazoan signal recognition particle RNA (ENSPSMG00000007564.1)". It matches the Rfam family "Metazoan signal recognition particle RNA". From Rfam's summary of the family: The signal recognition particle (SRP) is a universally conserved ribonucleoprotein. It is involved in the co-translational targeting of proteins to membranes. The eukaryotic SRP consists of a 300-nucleotide 7S RNA and six proteins: SRPs 72, 68, 54, 19, 14, and 9. The record is from RNAcentral. Lineage: Eukaryota; Metazoa; Chordata; Mammalia; Primates; Lemuridae.
GCCAGGUGUGAUGGUGCGCACCUGUAGCCCCAGCUACUCAGGAGGCUGAGGCAGGAGGAUCACUUAAGUCCAGGAGUUCUGGGCUAUGGUGCACUGUGCUGAUCAGGUGUCCCCAUCAAUAUGGUUACCUCCCAAGAGCAGAGGCCACCACAUUGCCCAAGGAGGGGUGAACUGGCCCAGGUUGGAAAUGGAGCAGGUCAAAGCUCCUGUGCUGAUCAGUAAUGGGAUUGUCCUGUGAAUAGCCACUGCACUCCAGCCUGGGCAACAAGGCAAGACCCCUUCUCU